Long non-coding RNA from Bos taurus (domestic cattle), 645 nucleotides. Lineage: Eukaryota; Metazoa; Chordata; Mammalia; Artiodactyla; Bovidae. The record is from Ensembl.
AGGAAGGUCAGUCCUGUGAGUAGGGUGUGGGUGGCACAGGCCCUGUUAGGGCAGCCGAUGGACAGAGAGCAAGAGAACAGCCAUCUUGAGUGGCCUGACCCUACAGGACACAUCUUGCUAAGGGAUGCACAAAAUAAAUCCAGACAAAACCCAGAUGCUUGCAGACAGUUCCAAGCUCUGGCGGCCGGAUGCCAAAAAGCUGAAUGCAAUUCCUGGGGCAUUUCCUUACUAUCUGAGCCACCAGGGAAGCCCCGCUUUUAUACGAGAAGUGGACAUAACUCUCCUUCUGUCAGGCCAUUCAUGUCAGACUUUGAAUCAGUCUUAUCAGGUAGGAGACCAUCGUCAUUAGAUUUCAGGCUACUUGGCUGCCCUGCCACCUCAAGUCUCUGAGGGAUUCACGGUGUCUGUACUUCAGAUUAUUUGCCUUAGGAAAGCAUCUCCAAAUGGAAUGAAAAGAAGCCCCCAAGACUCACGACUGGUGAGUGAUGGCAGUCUAAACAUCCACCCAGGUUUGCCAGCUUGUAGCCUGUCGUUCUGUCACGAAGCACCCCGCCAUGUGGCCUGGCCCCAAGGAGCUGCUCCUGGCGUGGAAGGGCCCGCCGUGUACCUCGAGCUUGGCAGAGUUGUGUCAGCGCCCCUCACAGG